UACGUAGGGACCAAGCGUUGUUCGGAUUUACUGGGCGUAAAGGGCGCGUAGGCGGCGCGUUAAGUCACUUGUGAAAUCUCUGAGCUUAACUCAGAACGGCCAAGUGAUACUGCAGUGCUAGAGUGUGGAAGGGGCAAUCGGAAUUCUUGGUGUAGCGGUGAAAUGCGUAGAUAUCAAGAGGAACACCGGUGGCGAAGGCGGGUCUCUGGGCCGUAACUGACGCUGAGGAGCGAAAGCGUGGGGAGCGAACAGG
This 253-nucleotide ribosomal RNA is filed under the name uncultured bacterium. RNAcentral's name for it is "partial 16S ribosomal RNA". It matches the Rfam family "Bacterial small subunit ribosomal RNA", at positions 524 to 776 of the family's 1533-position model. The record is from RNAcentral.